This 1106-nucleotide long non-coding RNA is filed under the name Homo sapiens (human). Its description in RNAcentral is "DENND5B antisense RNA 1". The record is from RNAcentral. Lineage: Eukaryota; Metazoa; Chordata; Mammalia; Primates; Hominidae.
GGCCGCAUUCGUGCCCACUGGCCCCGGCUGCGGCAUCGAGGGCGACCCUGCACACACCCCUCCUCGCCCUGGCCAGCCGAUAAGAGGGCUAGCCUCAGUGUGGGGGUCUGUCUUCUAAAGGGGUUGUCACCCAUCCUUAUUUCUUUUAAUGCAGCUUUGGGGAAGGUGAACAGCCGCUCUGAGAUCAUUUCGCAUAACGGUCUGAACCAUCGUCUUUUAAACUGUGACCUGUGUGGGGGUGCCUGUCUCACUUUAAGGUCCUCCCUUCCCCCAGCCGUCACCCCAUUUACAGGCCAUCCUUAGUGACUUAGUGACAAGUCAACCGUGAGGGGGAAAAAACACAACUCAAUACCCACAAAGCGUUGAGACUUCUAGAAGGAGUGCAGUCACCAACCCCCGCCUUCUGUCAUUUAUCCUGACAUUUUCCAGACGGGGUUUCACCGUAUUAGCCAGGAUGGUCUCAAUCUUCUAACCUCGUGAUCUGCCCACCUCGGCCUCGCAAAGCGCUGGGAUUACAGGCGUGAGCCUCCGCGACCGGCCAGAACUAGCUCUUCUUAAGGAUGUGACAGUGAUCUGCACUAGAGCUUCAGGCAGCUAAGGAUAUCUGAAAAGGAGAGACUCUAUGGAGUGUGGAUGUAGAAAAGGAGUUAUUCCUACCGGAAAAAAAUGAACUGUGGACACAGUCACUCAAGACCAGAGAAACAACCACUAUGAGUAAGUAGCUUCAAUUUCACUGUUACCAGGAGGGCACACACCAGAAAGCCUGGGACAAAGCCUGGGCUAGAGCCCUCAGGAUUCAUUCUCAGGCUUCCUGGUGCUGUGGUUCAACAGCCUUUGUGGGGAUGGGGAGAACCAGAGACUAUCACCAUCACAUGUAAAAAAUAUUACCACAGCAACAGCUGUCAAAAACCAGCUGGAGCUGAAGUUACACACCAUUUGAAAUCCACACUGUACUUGCUUUCUUGUGAUGGGCUUGAGACAUGUGCAGAGACACCUUAAACAUGUGUAGGUGACCACCCUUUUGAAAGGCAGAGGAGGGCCUCUUCAUGAACUCUUUCUACUCAUUUGUUUUCCUAUCAGUUCACCAUUUCAACUAGAAAAGAUGC